Molecule: ribosomal RNA, 490 nt
Filed under: uncultured bacterium
Lineage: Bacteria
Description: partial 16S ribosomal RNA
Rfam family: Bacterial small subunit ribosomal RNA
Source: RNAcentral
GAUGAACGCUAGCUACAGGCUUAACACAUGCAAGUCGCGGGGCAGCAUGGGGGUUGCUUGCAAUCCCCGAUGGCGACCGGCGCACGGGUGAGUAACGCGUAUCCAACCUGCCCUUCACCACGGGAUACCCCGGCGAAAGUCGGACUAAUACCGUAUGUUGUCCAUUGACGGCAUCCGAUUUGGACGAAAGGUUUGGCGGUGAAGGAUGGGGAUGCGUCCGAUUAGCUGUACGGCGGGGUGACGGCCCACCGUGGCGACGAUCGGUAGGGGUUCUGAGAGGAAGGUCCCCCACACUGGAACUGAGACACGGUCCAGACGCCUACGGGAGGCAGCAGUGAGGAAUAUUGGUCAAUGGGCGUAAGCCUGAACCAGCCAAGUAGCGUGCAGGAUGACGGCCCUAUGGGUUGUAAACUGCUUUUAUGCGGGGAUAAAGUGGCCCACGUGUGGGUUUUUGCAGGUACCGCGUGAAUAAGGACCGGCUAAUUCCGUG